Long non-coding RNA from Columba livia (rock pigeon), 1632 nucleotides. RefSeq lists it as uncharacterized. The record is from RefSeq and is a predicted model, not a curated record. Lineage: Eukaryota; Metazoa; Chordata; Aves; Columbiformes; Columbidae. The transcript is spliced from 2 exons.
AUGGGACGCUGGGGCGCACUCACGUUCAGCGCGUUCUUGGCCGCCUCGGCCUCGGAGCGGCUGUCGAAGCUGACGAAGCCCACGGGCUGCGGAGGAAGGAGAGAGGGGGAGAUGUCAGGACGAUGGGGAGCAGCGCAGGGUCCCCCCAACACCCCGGGGACACAUAGAGGGUGGCAGCGCAGCAUGGGGUGUGGAUGCCCCAGGGUGCUCAACCCCUGUUUUGAGCGGCUCCUACCUGCUUGGAGGUGAGUUUGAUGAGAGAACCUUCGUACCCCUGUAAGGAAAGAAUAAAAAUAGGGCUUUUUGGUGGAGACCUCUGCGAUUUGGCUGCCCCUCCGUGGAGGGAAACCUCCCGCACCCAUCAGCCGGCUUUGCUCGCCAAGGCUCAGCACCGGCUUGGGGAGCUUUGCGGGAUUGCCGCUGGAUUUUUGCAGGGGUGCUGGAUUCCUGAAUAGUAAUCUCCUUCGUCUUUGGAAAGCACUGUUGUCUGAGCUCCAGAUCUGGCAGGGUCAAGAGACCCGCAAGGUUUGCAGUCACCUUGUGCUGUUAAACGGGGUUCAAGUCAACGUGCAGUUAAAACCCCAGCGCAAUCAGAGCACCCGAUGGCAUUUGUCAGUGUUUUACCGGGUGCAGUAAGUUGUUUCAGCGAAUAAAAUGACCCAAUUAUUUGGGAAACCAGCAGGCGCUCACAGAUCCCACCUGUGUCAGUGGGGAUGGGGCAGGGGCUCAGGGCAGCCCGGUGCUUCCAGACCCCCCAACCCCAAUUUGGUACCUUAAAGGGCCUAAAGAGCAGGUAAAGUUCCCGGGGCUUGAUGUCCAGGGGCAACCCACUGACAAAGAGCGUCCUCACCUGGAAAAGAAGAAAAGAGGUUCCUGGAGACCCUCCCUCCUCCCUGUCUUUGGGAUAACCCCAUUUCCACUGGCCCUGGGGUGACAGCGGUGGCCAGGAGGGGCACAGGGAUGAAGAGGAACAAACCAGAUCUUGCCACCACCAGAAUCCAGGAGCCCUCCACUGUCAUCCCUGUCUGACCUAGGAAACUGUGCUUUUGCCCACAGAAAUUGGCCGGGCAGCCGCGAUCUACCGGCGUGAUAAUCCCCUUACCGGCCCAGGAAGGUCAGAUAAGAUAUCUGUGCCCCUCAUCUCCCAGCAAACAUUCCUGCUUUGUGUAACAAAACCUCUGGCUGACCUAUAGCUCUUAAAUAACAAAAGGUGCUCUGGCUGCUCCCAUAGAGCCCUUAUGGCAACAUGAUGCUGAUACCCAUCGCUGCUGGGUCCCCAUGGCUGGGAGAACAAGAGAUCCUGCGUGAUGGAGAGAAAACCUGAGAUCGGGAGAAAACCAGAGAUCGGGAGAGAAUCCGAGAUCAGGAGAAAAUCCAAGAUCUGGGGAUGGUGGAGAGAAAACCUGAGAUCAGAGGGUGAUGGAGCAUCCCCUGGCAUUCAGUGCUGCACCGUCUCCUGAUGGACACACUGCCUGAAUUUCCCUGCGCAGGGAUUCAUCCAGAGGAGCUUCCCUCAUAUCCAUUAAAUGUAAUGUAUAGAAGGUAAAUUUACCCUUUCCAAGGGAAAAAUAUAUAUCUAUCCCAUUUCAGAGAGGUGCAGCUGCCCUCCUGGCUGGGUUUUCCUCCCGAGGA